Molecule: long non-coding RNA, 857 nt
Filed under: Cavia porcellus (domestic guinea pig)
Lineage: Eukaryota; Metazoa; Chordata; Mammalia; Rodentia; Caviidae
Description: lncRNA (ENSCPOG00000030600.1)
Source: RNAcentral
GAAGAAAAGCCUCACAGCAGAAGCUGGGGCUGCUGCUCAUCUCUGGAGGGAAGAAGUAGGGGACAGGGAAGAGAUAGAGUGGUGGGCACAGUGGCAAAGCCAGCAGGCCGGCCAGUCUGGAUGGAGGAGGCUACAAGCCAAAAACUUGGAAUCUGGAAGGCUCCUCCUAUGUGACCUGAGUGUCACCAUGUCUGUUCUUGGAGGUUGCUGUGAAGUAAUGCUGGGCCUGCUGGAGGCCAGUUCAUCUUCUCAUGGUGGAACCGACUGUCUCCUCCCUCUGGGCUCUUGUCCUGAGGAUGCUGAAGAAUAAAGUCCAGGGAUGCAGCAGUGGGGAAUGAACUAUGUGUGGUUUAUCAGAAAGAACAAGGAAAAUCCCUUGCUAACCAAGAAGGGCUCCAAGAGAGGGUACUGAGAGGUGCCCAAGUUUAGGUAGGGGUUUAUCUACACUUUGUUGGACUAUCUUGGAAAUAAGGAAACAGUGUGAUUGCAGCUUUUGGCCAGGCUUCUGGCAUCAGGAGGAGGAGACUUCCCUUGCACCCCAGCUUCCCAGGGCUCAUCUCAUUUUACCCAGGCCCUUGUCCUUUGAAAAAAUACGGUUGCCAAUGUGAUUGAUGUUUGAAUAGCGACCCUCCUUUUCUUUGUGUUUUAAUUUUUCCAGGGCCCAUUUUGGUUUGUUUGAGGCUCCAGCCUAGAUGCCUGCUGUUUGUCUGUCUCACAAGUCUCACUGGGAAGCAUCUGCUUGAGGAUUCAGGCAACACAGAAAAAAAUAGAGAUGGAGGGAGACAACUUUGAAUGAUGUUGCAUGAACACCUGGCUCUAACUGUGCCUGAAGUAGGACAGAGCCCUGAGCUUCCCAA